This 465-nucleotide ribosomal RNA is filed under the name uncultured bacterium. Its description in RNAcentral is "partial 16S ribosomal RNA". It matches the Rfam family "Bacterial small subunit ribosomal RNA", at positions 338 to 795 of the family's 1533-position model. The record is from RNAcentral.
CCUACGGGAGGCAGUAGUGGGGAAUAUUGCGCAAUGGGCGAAAGCCUGACGCAGCGACGCCGCGUGAGGGAUGAAGGUCUUCGGAUCGUAAACCUCUGUUAGCAGGGAAGAACGGUCACUGUGCUAAUCAGCAGUGAAUUGACGGUACCUGCAAAGGAAGCACCGGCUAACUCCGUGCCAGCAGCCGCGGUAAUACGGAGGGUGCGAGCGUUAAUCGGAUGUACUGGGCGUAAAGCGAGCGUAGGCGGUAUGUCAAGUCAAGGGUGAAAUCCCGGCGCUCAACGUGGGAACUGCCUUUGAAACUGGCAAUCUUGAGUGUGUGAGAGGAUAGUGGAAUUCCAGGUGUAGGAGUGAAAUCCGUAGAUAUCUGGAGGAACAUCAGUGGCGAAGGCGACUAUCUGGCACAUAACUGACGCUGAGGAGCGAAAGCGUGGGUAGCAAACAGGAUUAGAUACCCCUGUAGUC